Molecule: ribosomal RNA, 474 nt
Filed under: Escherichia coli
Lineage: Bacteria; Pseudomonadati; Pseudomonadota; Gammaproteobacteria; Enterobacterales; Enterobacteriaceae
Description: bacterial SSU rRNA
Rfam family: Bacterial small subunit ribosomal RNA
Source: RNAcentral
AUAAUAUUUUGAACCGCAUGGUUCAAAAGUGAAAGACGGUCUUGCUGUCACUUAUAGAUGGAUCCGCGCUGCAUUAGCUAGUUGGUAAGGUAACGGCUUACCAAGGCAACGAUGCAUAGCCGACCUGAGAGGGUGAUCGGCCACACUGGAACUGAGACACGGUCCAGACUCCUACGGGAGGCAGCAGUAGGGAAUCUUCCGCAAUGGGCGAAAGCCUGACGGAGCAACGCCGCGUGAGUGAUGAAGGUCUUCGGAUCGUAAAACUCUGUUAUUAGGGAAGAACAUAUGUGUAAGUAACUGUGCACAUCUUGACGGUACCUAAUCAGAAAGCCACGGCUAACUACGUGCCAGCAGCCGCGGUAAUACGUAGGUGGCAAGCGUUAUCCGGAAUUAUUGGGCGUAAAGCGCGCGUAGGCGGUUUUUUAAGUCUGAUGUGAAAGCCCACGGCUCAACCGUGGAGGGUCAUUGGAAACU